UGAAACACAGACUAGGUGAUGUCAUGCAGCUGAUUGCAAAGAGAUAUCUAACUCUUGUCUUUUUCAGGAAGAUGCUGUUUCUUUUGCCAGUAAUGUGGGCUACCCUUGCUUCCCGAGGCCAUCCUAUGUUCUGAGUGGUUCAGCCAUGAAUGUUGUGUAUGGAGAAGAUAAGAUGAAACAUUUCCUGGAGGAAGCCACACAGGUGUCACAGCAAUAGUGCUAUUUACAGCAUUUUUAUGGGGAACAGGAUCAUCCUGUGGUUAUCACCAAAUUCGUACAAGGUGCCAGAGAAGUGGAGGUGGAUGCAGUGGCCAGGAUGGGUAAGGUGCUGGCUCAUGCUAUCACAGAGCAUGUGGAGGAUGCAGGAGUGCACUCAGGAGACGCCACACUCAUUCUACCCACCCAGACCAUCAGCCAGGGAGCUCUGGAGAAGGUGAAGACCUAAAAGAAAAUUGCAAAGGCGUUUGAGAGUUCAGGGCCAUUUUACACUCAAUUUUUAGUGAAAGGCAAUGAUGUAAUGGUGAUUGAGUGUAACCUGCGUGCCUCUCGAUCUUUCCCUUUCGUCUCUAAAUCUUUUGGGGUGGACUUCAUUGAUGUGGCCACCAGGGUCAUGGGUGAGCCACUGGACGAGUCUCGUCUGCCCUCCCUAGAAAACCCAAUCAUUCCAGUCGACUAUGUUUGCAUUAAGUGAUCUGUUUUGAUCACUGCAGGUGGCUUGCUUUGGACCAAACAUCUAUUCAGCCUUCCUAAAGGCCAUGCUCUCUACAGGAUUCAAGCUUCCCCAGAAGUGGAUUCUCAUUGGGAUAAAAGUGAAGAAGAACUUUUUUAUCCCUUCCUUAAUGGUUGAAUCUCAAAGGACUCAGAUUUACUCAGUGGAACAUAAGUGGCUUGUUUUGAUCAGAACAGGUUGCUAUAUCUACUUGCAGGUUAUUUUCCACAUAAAUUACAAAAUCCAUAGGAGGUUUUCAAGUAGGAAAACAAUUCCUGAAUAUACAGGUGCAUCUCAAUUAAUUAGAA
Long non-coding RNA from Carassius auratus (goldfish), 1017 nucleotides. RefSeq lists it as uncharacterized. The record is from RefSeq and is a predicted model, not a curated record. The transcript has 7 exons. Lineage: Eukaryota; Metazoa; Chordata; Actinopteri; Cypriniformes; Cyprinidae.